This 447-nucleotide ribosomal RNA is filed under the name uncultured bacterium. RNAcentral's name for it is "bacterial SSU rRNA". It matches the Rfam family "Bacterial small subunit ribosomal RNA", at positions 355 to 825 of the family's 1533-position model. The record is from RNAcentral.
UAACGAAUCUUCCGCAAUGGGCGAAAGCCUGACGGAGCAAUGCCGCGUGUGGGAUGAAGCGCCUUCGGCGUGUAAACCACUGUCAGGGAAUGGAACCAAUGAUUAUUCCCAAAGGAAGUGGCGACUAACUCUGUGCCAGCAGUCGCGGUAAUACAGAGGCCACAAGCGUUAGUCGGAAUCACUGGGCUUAAAGGGUGCGUAGGCGGGCCCGCAAGCGUCUUGUGAAAUCCCAUGGCUCAACCAUGGAAUUGCAGGGCGAACUGCGGGUCUUGAGGCAGGUAGGGGCCGGAAGAACAGUAGGUGGAGCGGUGAAAUGCGUAGAUAUCGGAAGGAACAUCGGUGGCGAAGGCGUCUACCUGGCCUAAUACUGACACUGAGGCACGAAAGCGUGGGGAGCAAACAGGAUUAGAUACCCUUGUAGUCCCUGAGCGGGCUGGCAAGGCGCAU